RNAcentral lists this ribosomal RNA (464 nucleotides) under uncultured bacterium. Its description in RNAcentral is "partial 16S ribosomal RNA". It matches the Rfam family "Bacterial small subunit ribosomal RNA", at positions 29 to 507 of the family's 1533-position model. The record is from RNAcentral.
ACGAACGCUGGCGGCGUGCUUAACACAUGCCAGUCGAACGGAAAGGCCCUGCUUGCAGGGUACUCGAGUGGCGAACGGGUGAGUAACACGUGGGUGAUCUGCCCUGCACUUCGGGAUAAGCCUGGGAAACUGGGUCUAAUACCGGAUAGGAGCCAUUUUUAGUGUGAUGGUUGGAAAGUUUUUUCGGUGUAGGAUGAGCUCGCGGCCUAUCAGCUUGUUGGUGGGGUAAUGGCCUACCAAGGCGGCGACGGGUAGCCGGCCUGAGAGGGUGGACGGCCACAUUGGGACUGAGAUACGGCCCAGACUCCUACGGGAGGCAGCAGUGGGGAAUAUUGCACAAUGGGCGCAAGCCUGAUGCAGCGACGCCGCGUGGGGGAUGACGGCCUUCGGGUUGUAAACUCCUUUCGCUAGGGACGAAGCUUUUUGUGACGGUACCUAGAGAAGAAGCACCGGCUAACUACGUG